Molecule: long non-coding RNA, 1407 nt
Filed under: Gallus gallus (chicken)
Lineage: Eukaryota; Metazoa; Chordata; Aves; Galliformes; Phasianidae
Description: lncRNA (ENSGALG00010008881.1)
Source: RNAcentral
UAUUAACAGAGUCCUCUGCAUUAAAACCAGUACUCAGGAAUCUUCUGUGCAGCAGAGGGAACCUAAGGGUUACUGGUGUAUGCAGUAACUGUUUUACGGGCACCGCUACUUGUGGCAGAGGAGCAAAUGAAAGAGUAAAGAGGAGGAAAAAAAGACAAGGCAUUACUCCACGAGAACAGUGAAGAAACACCUUCCAAACACCUUGUUCAUCUCCAUGGGAAGGGAGGCUUCAGAUCGGCAGAAGAAAUGUGAGAAAAUCUCCUGUUUAAAAUUACAUGGACAGACGAACUCCGCCGGCGACUUCCAUGACAUGAAUUUACCGCUGGAUUGUAUGAAGGUUUCUGCAUCUGUUGCAUUUUUAAUUGCCUUGCCGUUCAAGUGGAAUACCCCCACUGCUGGGCUUCACCCCACAGCCUCAGCACCUCCCUUCUGUGGGAACAAGGGGCACAGCACCGGGCCUACGGGAGCAGUAUGGAAAAUGCAAAGCUUUGCAGGGACUUCACUGAGCAAUACGGCACGCACAGUGCUGAGCACGCUCGCAAUUUACUGCCUGAGGAGGAGAAUCUACGCAGAGAAUCCACACAGAGAAAAGGGGAAGGUCACGAAAAUCGCGUUUUUAUGUAGUUUGGAAGUCCCACGCACCUUUCGUUGCUUGAACUUGUCAAUGUUCACCAUAUGGAAAUUAUUAACUUAAUGCCGGUGUUCUAAAUACUGCCCAGGAAUGCUUUUUAGAAUGGGAUUUUUAUUCUUUGCGUCAAGAAAUACCAAACUACCACACAAAUACCGUGACUGGGGAACCUGUGGAACCGGCCCACGUCCCACCAGAGCGAGGAGCUCCUCAUUGGCACAGCCGUGUGUGUCCGGAGUAACCCGGCGCAGAGCGCGGUGGCACCGACAAGGCGCAUAGGGGAGAUAGAAUCGUAGCAUCAUACAAUUGCUCCAGUUGAAAAUGACCUUAAAGAUCAUCGAGUCCAACCGCAACCUGACCAUCCUACUCUAACAACCCUCCGCUAAAUCACGGCCCUGAGCAAACUGAGCAUUGAGAUGCUGCUGUGUGGAGAUCAGAAGGCAGACGUUCUGGACACCAUCGGGGCGUUAAGGCACUGUGCAUUUUUCCAAGCGUGCCCUCCCUGCCCGCACGUCCCGGCAUUUUUUUCUCUGACUUAGAACGAAAUUUGCCCGUCCCGAAUCCAUCCCACUCGGGCAUUCAUGCUGAAAGCAGCAACAAUUGUCACUGACCUUUAACACGCCUGCUAUUCAAAUUAGUGCAGAUCAUUAAUCACACAUAGCUUACAUUUUAUGAUUCGUGUAUCCUUCAUUACCAACUUUCCCCCUCUCUCGCUCCCGCCCCUUUCCUUUAUCCCAAGGCUGCUGGCAGCCGGCCCGACCCCCCCGCGCCCCUCCGCC